RNAcentral lists this ribosomal RNA (381 nucleotides) under Verrucomicrobiota bacterium. RNAcentral's name for it is "bacterial SSU rRNA". It matches the Rfam family "Bacterial small subunit ribosomal RNA", at positions 1 to 366 of the family's 1533-position model. Lineage: Bacteria; Pseudomonadati; Verrucomicrobiota. The record is from RNAcentral.
UUAACGGAGAGUUUGAUUCUGGCUCAGAACGAACGCUGGCGGCGUGGAUAAGACAUGCAAGUCGAGCGAGAUUUUUUCCUGUAGCAAUACAGGGAAAAGUCUAGCGGCGAACGGGUGCUUAACACGUGGGCAAUCUGCCAAGAAGUGGGGGAUAGCUCGCCGAAAGGCGAAUUAAUACCGCAUGUGAUCAGAGUGGACAUCCAUUCGAAAUCAAAGUCGGGGCAACCUGACGCUUUUUGAGGAGCCCGCGGCCUAUCAGCUAGUUGGUGAGGUAACGGCCCACCAAGGCUUAGACGGGUAGCUGGUCUGAGAGGACGACCAGCCACACUGGGACUGAGACACGGCCCAGACACCUACGGGUGGCAGCAGUCGAGAAUUUUU